RNAcentral lists this ribosomal RNA (405 nucleotides) under uncultured bacterium. RNAcentral describes it as "partial 16S ribosomal RNA". It matches the Rfam family "Bacterial small subunit ribosomal RNA", at positions 30 to 525 of the family's 1533-position model. The record is from RNAcentral.
AUUGAACGCUGGCGGCAGGCCUAACACAUGCAAGUCGAACGAGUGGCGGACGGGUGAGUAAUGUCUGGGAAACUGCCCGAUGGAGGGGGAUAACUACUGGAAACAGUAGCUAAUACCGCAUACCAUCGGAUGUGCCCAGAUGGGAUUAGCUAGUAGGUGGGGUAACGGCUCACCUAGGCGACGAUCCCUAGCUGGUCUGAGAGGAUGACCAGCCACCCUGGAACUGAUACACGUUCCCAGACCCUACGGGAGGCAGAGGUGGGGAAUAUUGCACAAUGGGGGCAAGCCUGAUGCAGCCAUGCCGGGUGUAUGAAGAAGGCCUCCGGGUUUUAAAGUACUUUCAGCGAGGAGGCGUUACUCGCAGAAGAAGCACCGGCUAACUCCGUGCCAGCAGCCGCGGUAUUC